CCUCGGGUGGCAGCAGUGGGGAAUAUUGGGCCAUUGGCGCAAGCCUGACCCAGCAACGCCGCCUGAAGGAAGAAGGCUUUCGGGUUGUAAACUUCUUUUCUGAGGGACGAAGAAAGUGACGGUACCUCAGGAAUAAGCCACGGCUAACUACGUGCCAGCAGCCGCGGUAAUACGUAGGUGGCAAGCGUUAUCCGGAUUUAUUGGGUGUAAAGGGCGUGUAGGCGGGAAAGUAAGUCAGAUGUGAAAACUCAGGGCUCAACCCUGAGCCUGCAUUGGAAACUGUUUUUCUUGAGUGCUGGAGAGGCAAUCGGAAUGCCGGGUGUAGCGGUGAAAUGCGUAGAUAUACGGAGGAACACCAGUGGCGAAGGCGGAUUGCUGGACAGUAACUGAUGCUGAGGCGCGAAAGCGUGGGGAGCAAACAGGAUUAGAUACCCUAGUAGUC
This 442-nucleotide ribosomal RNA is filed under the name uncultured bacterium. Its description in RNAcentral is "partial 16S ribosomal RNA". It matches the Rfam family "Bacterial small subunit ribosomal RNA", at positions 339 to 795 of the family's 1533-position model. The record is from RNAcentral.